RNAcentral lists this unclassified non-coding RNA (338 nucleotides) under soil metagenome. RNAcentral's name for it is "partial contains 5.8S ribosomal RNA, internal transcribed spacer 2, and large subunit ribosomal RNA". The stretch from base 1 to 120 matches the Rfam family "5.8S ribosomal RNA", at positions 35 to 154 of the family's 154-position model. The record is from RNAcentral.
GAUGAAGAACGUAGCGAAAUGCGAUACGUAAUGUGAAUUGCAGAAUUCCGUGAAUCAUCGAAUCUUUGAACGCACAUUGCGCCCGGUAGUAUUCUGCCGGGCAUGCCUGUUCGAGCGUCAUUUCAACCAUCAAGCCCCAGCGCUUGUGUUGGGGGCCUGCGGCUGCCGCAGCCCCCUAAAAGCAGUGGCGGGCUCGCUAUCACACCGAGUGCAGUAGUUCAUCUUCUCUCCGGUCUUGUGAGGCGGGUUCCGGCCGUGAAACACCCCACUACAUUCAAGGUUGACCUCGGAUCAGGUAGGAAUACCCGCUGAACUUAAGCAUAUCAAUAAGCGGAGGA